UCUUUUUCUCUCUCUCUUUCCGUAAACUGCAGCUUGUCAGAACAGGAGUUUGAGGACAAGGCCGGUGUAAUUUUGCAAAGGAUCUCCAGGCUGAAGCAGGACAGGGCCGCUGUUUGUAUCCCGCAGCAGGGCGCAGCAGGAGAAGGCAAGAUCAGUCCCGACACUGGCACGCUCGCAGGGGUCAGAGGUCGUGCUAGUUCACUUUCCAAAAACACCAAAGAGGAGAAAGCAGCUCUACUGUAUGAGCUGCUGACAGUCAGGGAGGAGAUGUCAGAGAUGUGUGGGAAUCUCCGGCUCCUGGAGAAAGAGAGGUGGUGUUUGGACCUGGCGCUGAUGGUCCAGAGUGCCCAGGAUUCUGCUGGUGCUCUGAUCCUGGACAGUCUGCGAGAUGAGCUGGGGGAGAGGAGAGCCACCCAGCAGCUUGUCACUCUAUCGGAAUCACUUAUUCGGAAUCACUCUAUCCUAAGAGAACUACAAGCAACACUGCAAAGGGAACAGUCACCGAGGAAGAGAGUGGCAGCUUUACGUGAGUCGCUGGACUCGGCGCUCGCAGACAGCACCACUCAGAGGAGGAUCAACAGAGAGGAGAUUGCACGCCUCUCCCGCUACUACAAUAAAGUUUCAAGCACCUACAGAAGUUCUCGAAAGAAGCACCAGGAGCAGCUGUGGUGACUGGAGAAGCAAAUCGCAGUCGUGAGGGAACGUCAUGCUAAAGAAGAGGCCGAGCUAAGUGCUACACUGGAAGCUAUGGAGUGGAGGAGAGAGGAGACCAUACUCUAAAAGACUCUGCAGCAUAGUCCUGCUUAGUGUCAUUUCAUCGACAAACAUUUCUGAAAGAUAAUGCUGAAUGUUGAUUUUGAGUGAGAGGUUAGGUAAGUACUGGUUUAGAAACACUAAGCAUAUAAAAUUGCAACUAAAUUUACUGUAAAAGAUGCACCAUUUGGCAAUUUAAAGGUAAUUGGUUUGCUGGCUAUACUGACACCUGCUGCUGUGGAUGCAACAUCACAAGCCCUUAAGUCUGGGUAUUGGGACAGGCCAGCUUUUUCUAGGUCAUUACUAGAUAUAGAUAUAGAUAUAACUCUAUAUCGUGUACAUUAUUUAAAAAA
RNAcentral lists this long non-coding RNA (1106 nucleotides) under Sinocyclocheilus grahami. RNAcentral's name for it is "lncRNA (ENSSGRG00000043430.1)". The record is from RNAcentral. Lineage: Eukaryota; Metazoa; Chordata; Actinopteri; Cypriniformes; Cyprinidae.